This 492-nucleotide ribosomal RNA is filed under the name uncultured bacterium. RNAcentral's name for it is "partial 16S ribosomal RNA". It matches the Rfam family "Bacterial small subunit ribosomal RNA", at positions 29 to 507 of the family's 1533-position model. The record is from RNAcentral.
AGUGAACGCUGGCGGUAGGCCUAACACAUGCAAGUCGAACGGCAGCACAGUAAGAGCUUGCUCUUACGGGUGGCGAGUGGCGGACGGGUGAGGAAUACAUCGGAAUCUACUUUUUCGUGGGGGAUAACGUAGGGAAACUUACGCUAAUACCGCAUACGACCUACGGGUGAAAGCAGGGGAUCUUCGGACCUUGCGCGAUUGAAUGAGCCGAUGUCGGAUUAGCUAGUUGGCGGGGUAAAGGCCCACCAAGGCGACGAUCCGUAGCCGGUCUGAGAGGAUGAUCAGCCACCAUGGAACUGAGACACGGUCCAGACUCCGACGGGAGGCAGCAGUGGGGAAUAGUGGACAAAGGCCGCAAGCUUGAUCCAGCCAUACGGCGUGAGUGAAGAAGGCCUUCGGGUUGUAAAGCCCUUUUGUUGGGAAAGAAAAGCAGCAGGUUAAUACCCCGCUGUUCUGACGGUACCCAAAGAAUAAGCACCGGCUAACUUCGUG